This 253-nucleotide ribosomal RNA is filed under the name uncultured bacterium. Its description in RNAcentral is "partial 16S ribosomal RNA". It matches the Rfam family "Bacterial small subunit ribosomal RNA", at positions 524 to 776 of the family's 1533-position model. The record is from RNAcentral.
UACGUAGGCAGCAAGCGUUGUUCGGAAUUACUGGGCGUAAAGAGUGCGUAGGUGGUGCCCUAAGUCUGUUGUGAAAUCUCCCGGCUUAACUGGGAGGGUGCGGUGGAAACUGGGGUGCUUGAGUGUGGGAGAGGUAAGCGGAAUUCCUGGUGUAGCGGUGAAAUGCGUAGAUAUCAGGAGGAACACCGGUGGUGUAGACGGCUUACUGGACCGCGACUGACACUGAGGCACGAAAGCGUGGGUAGCAAACAGG